GACAUAUAAUUCAAACAGACAACGAGAAUGGAACAUGAGCAAAGGUCCAACAUUAUGACAUUUUCCAGCCAAUACUCCCAAACAACUUAAGAGAGAUACUCUCUUCCCCUCUCUCCCCAUUAAAAGUUUUGCCUUCUUUCUCUUUCCCUUCCUAAACUCUCAAACUAGUCCGCAGGUCCUUAACACACAGUUCUUUCUCACCAGUCAAGCGGCCCAAAUAUGACCAACCAAACCGCGCUCAAUGCCAAUUAUAAACUCGGCCAACAUCAUUUAUGGAAACAACUACCAUUCAUAAAGCAAGCAGUCAACACAAAAUUUAACUAUUGCACGAAGUUUUGAUAAUCAAACAUGCCAAAUAAAUGUCUACCAAAAAUACAUAUGUAUGUCAGAAGCAAAAAAUCUAAAGCCGCAAAUAAAAAUCAGGACAAGGA
Molecule: long non-coding RNA, 431 nt
Organism: Coffea arabica (coffee)
Lineage: Eukaryota; Viridiplantae; Streptophyta; Magnoliopsida; Gentianales; Rubiaceae
Source: RefSeq, a predicted model, not a curated record